Molecule: microRNA, 22 nt
Filed under: Apis mellifera (honey bee)
Lineage: Eukaryota; Metazoa; Arthropoda; Insecta; Hymenoptera; Apidae
Description: ame-miR-92b-3p
Gene: ame-miR-92b-3p
Source: miRBase by way of RNAcentral
AAUUGCACCCGUCCCGGCCUGA